CUUGGUCAUUUAGAGGAAGUAAAAGUCGUAACAAGGUUUCCCUCCGCAGCUGAGCCUCGGAGACCUUGCACCCCUCUGGGGGGGCAGCGCGACUAUAAAUAAGGCUGGCCACUUGCAAGUUGACCGUGAGGUCAGCGACAUAAUCGAAUUGACGGGGACUUCCUAAAGCCUGCAGCACCACCUAGACGGGGAAACCCGUUUAGUACGGUAAGAGCCUGUAGGAUACACAAUGGAUAAUCCGCAGCCGAGCCCCUACUGCGAAAGCCACGGGGAAGGUUCACAGACUAGGUGAUUAUGGGUCCAGCCGCUUGUUGGAUCUAAGAUAUAGUCGGUCUCUGGGGGAAAUCCCAGGGGUUUCAGCGUCCGUAGGUGAACCUGCGGAAGGAUCAUUAAUGUAACCGGACCGGUCCUUUGCCGUAAAACGCACCGGAUUGGAAAGGGAGAUACCAUACACCCUGUGUUUAUUUACCUUUGUUGCUUUGGCGGGCCGUCCUUUUAGGCGUCGGCCCCGGCUGAUCGCGCCCGCCAGAGGACCUAAACUCUUUUAUCAGUGAUGUCUGAGUACUAUAUAAUAGUUAAAACUUUCAACAACGGAUCUCUUGGUUCUGGCAUCGAUGAAGAACGCAGCGAAAUGCGAUAAGUAAUGUGAAUUGCAGAAUUCAGUGAAUCAUCGAAUCUUUGAACGCACAUUGCGCCCGCUGGUAUUCCGGCGGGCAUGCCUGUUCGAGCGUCAUUAUAACCAAUCAAGCUCUGCUUGGCCUUGGGGCCCGCUGUACCGGCGGCUCUCAAAACCAGUGGCGGUGCCGUCUGGCUCUAAGCGUAGUAAUUUAUCUCGCUAUUGGGUCCGGUAGUUGCUUGCCAAUAACCCCCAACUUUUAAGGUUGACCUCGGAUCAGGUAGGGAUACCCGCUGAACUUAAGCAUAUCAAUAAGCGGAGGA
RNAcentral lists this ribosomal RNA (939 nucleotides) under uncultured Chloridium. RNAcentral describes it as "eukaryotic LSU rRNA". The stretch from base 580 to 733 matches the Rfam family "5.8S ribosomal RNA". Lineage: Eukaryota; Fungi; Ascomycota; Sordariomycetes; Chaetosphaeriales; Chaetosphaeriaceae. The record is from RNAcentral.